CGUGUCAUUUGGGAUACGCUAUAGGCACAUGUUGAUAUCCAGUCACCGUAGCGGGCACCUGUCGUAGAUAUGAACGCCGACAAAGUGUGGAAUGGUGCUCAAAGUGUAUCUGCCAUCAAAUCUGUACGAGCUGUACGUGCCGUGUUUUAACGGUGACCAAGUUACUAAUCCGAUUUUCUGACUGAGCUCGUUGCUCUUGCUUUUAUUUACUUAUUUAUGUUUACGUAAAUUUACUCAGGCAGCGUUACAUUGACUUGAAUUAACAGUAGAGAGAGGGG
Hippocampus comes (tiger tail seahorse) is the source of this 278-nucleotide long non-coding RNA. RefSeq lists it as uncharacterized. The record is from RefSeq and is a predicted model, not a curated record. The transcript has 2 exons. NCBI's taxonomy places the organism in Eukaryota, Metazoa, Chordata, Actinopteri, Syngnathiformes, Syngnathidae.